This 254-nucleotide long non-coding RNA is filed under the name Elaeis guineensis (African oil palm). RNAcentral's name for it is "long non-coding RNA (EGUI_LNC069978)". Lineage: Eukaryota; Viridiplantae; Streptophyta; Magnoliopsida; Arecales; Arecaceae. The record is from RNAcentral.
GAGGUCGAGCCCAUGGUCGUGAUCCUUCAUCUCCUCACCCCAUUUCUGACUCAUCAGACUCCGAUCCAUCCAGUCAUGAUAUCUACUAGAUCUAGUGUAGUCUGUCUUUUCUUUAGUUUUUGUCUAGGAUGUGUAAUGCAAUGUUGACUGUUUGACUUUUGGAUAGUUUCUAUCCAUGUCUUUUGUACUUUGAGUCAACACUUAUGUAUUAAAACAUCUUUGUACUCAAAGAUCUUUUGAAUAUAUAUAUAUAU